AGAGUUUGAUCAUGGCUCAGGACGAACGCUGGCGGCGUGCUUAACGCAUGCAAGUCGAACGAGGCCCAACCAGUGGCAACACUGGGGAAGGCCUAGUGGCGAACGGGUGAGUAACACGUGAGGAACCCACCCUGGAGACCGGGAUAACUCUCCGAAAGGAGAGCUAAUACCGGAUGCCCUCAUCGGACCGCAUGAUCUGAUGAGGAAAUGGAUUCCGCUCCAGGACGGCCUCGCGGCCUAUCAGCUUGUUGGUGAGGGUAACGGCCCACCAAGGCUACGACGGGUAGCUGGUCUGAGAGGACGAUCAGCCACACUGGGACUGAGACACGGCCCAGACUCCUACGGGAGGCAGCAGCGGGGAAUAUUGCGCAAUGGGCGAAAGCCUGACGCAGCAACGCCGCGUGGGGGAUGAAGGCUCUCGGGUUGUAAACCCCUUUCAGCAGGGACGAAUUCAGACGGUACCUGCAGAAGAAGCCCCGGCCAACUACGUGCCAGCAGCCGCGGUAACACGUAGGGGGCAAGCGUUGUCCGGAUUUAUUGGGCGUAAAGAGCUCGUAGGCGGUUCGGUAAGUCGGGUGUGAAAACUCUGGGCUCAACUCAGAGACGCCACCCGAUACUGCUGUGACUUGAGUCUGGUAGGGGAGUGUGGAAUUCCCGGUGUAGCGGUGAAAUGCGCAGAUAUCGGGAGGAACACCAGUGGCGAAGGCGGCACUCUGGGCCAGUACUGACGCUGAGGAGCGAAAGCGUGGGGAGCGAACAGGAUUAGAUACCCUAGUAGUCC
Molecule: ribosomal RNA, 781 nt
Filed under: uncultured bacterium
Lineage: Bacteria
Description: bacterial SSU rRNA
Rfam family: Bacterial small subunit ribosomal RNA
Source: RNAcentral